This 130-nucleotide transfer RNA is filed under the name Asanoa ishikariensis. RNAcentral's name for it is "tRNA_Pseudo_Pseudo". It matches the Rfam family "tRNA". Rfam says of the family: Transfer RNA (tRNA) molecules are approximately 80 nucleotides in length. Their secondary structure includes four short double-helical elements and three loops (D, anti-codon, and T loops). The record is from RNAcentral. Lineage: Bacteria; Bacillati; Actinomycetota; Actinomycetes; Micromonosporales; Micromonosporaceae.
GGGUCGCUAGCUCAACUGGCAGAGCAUUCGGCUGAUUAGCGCGUCCGCUCCCCGCCCUGUGCGGGCACAUGGAGGCGCUUCCUUCAUCUCUGGGAUCGAAGGGUUCGGGGUUCGAAUCCCCGGCGGCCCC